This 440-nucleotide ribosomal RNA is filed under the name uncultured prokaryote. Its description in RNAcentral is "partial 16S ribosomal RNA". The record is from RNAcentral.
CCCUAUGGGGUGCAGCAUGAUAAUCAGCUUCUUUCUUUACAGUUUUGUCAGGUAAUAUGAAUCAUCAUCCCUGCAUAAGUAUAGACGCAUAGGAAACCAAUUUUAUUCCCGAAAUUUGCUAAAAAUUAAUUUAUUUUAUAAAAUAUUGUUAAUCAGCUGGUCAGUUCAGUAUUGGUAUAUGCCGGAGAGUGCCUUGGGGCAGAUUGUUCCGGGCGAGUGAUGAGAGGUGAGGGAGAUGGAUAGCCAGGACAUAUUGAUCCGGGAGAGGCUGGAAAAAGACUUUGAUGCUCUCCCGAUGCCUUCUGAGGAGGAGAUGUUUGCCCGGAUCAUGGCAGCGAUGGAAGCGGAAGACGCGGCGGAGCAGUCAGUCCGGAAGCGGGGGAAGGGAUAUUUCCGCUAUCUUGCUGCGGGACUUGCCUUGCUCAUUCUGGCGGGGGGGC